CCUACGGGAGGCAGCAGUGAGGAAUAUUGGACAAUGGGCGCAAGCCUGAUCCAGCCAUGCCGCGUGCAGGAAGACGGUCCUAUGGAUUGUAAACUGCUUUUAUACAGGAAGAAACACCUCUACGUGUAGAGACUUGACGGUACUGUAUGAAUAAGCAUCGGCUAACUCCGUGCCAGCAGCCGCGGUAAUACGGAGGAUGCAAGCGUUAUCCGGAAUCAUUGGGUUUAAAGGGUCCGUAGGCGGUUUAAUAAGUCAGUGGUGAAAGCCCAUCGCUCAACGAUGGAACGGCCAUUGAUACUGUUAAACUUGAAUUAUUAGGAAGUAACUAGAAUAUGUAGUGUAGCGGUGAAAUGCUUAGAGAUUACAUGGAAUACCAAUUGCGAAGGCAGGUUACUACUAAUAUAUUGACGCUGAUGGACGAAAGCGUGGGGAGCGAACAGGAUUAGAUACCCUGGUAGUCCACGCCGUAAACGAUGGAUACUAGCUGUUCGGAGCAAUCUGAGUGNGUAGAGAAGAGAGUAAGUAUACCACCGUCGGGUAGGUACGGUUACGUCGAAGAAGUAGAAACGUUAAAAGGUAAAGUUAGUACGGACGUAGAGAGUAGACCGACGGACGACGACGAGGGGAGGAGG
RNAcentral lists this ribosomal RNA (632 nucleotides) under uncultured bacterium. RNAcentral's name for it is "bacterial SSU rRNA". The stretch from base 1 to 532 matches the Rfam family "Bacterial small subunit ribosomal RNA", at positions 338 to 873 of the family's 1533-position model. The record is from RNAcentral.